This 406-nucleotide ribosomal RNA is filed under the name uncultured bacterium. RNAcentral describes it as "partial 16S ribosomal RNA". It matches the Rfam family "Bacterial small subunit ribosomal RNA", at positions 29 to 526 of the family's 1533-position model. The record is from RNAcentral.
AUUGAACGCUGGCGGCAGGCCUAACACAUGCAAGUCGAGCGAGCGGCGGACGGGUGAGUAAUGUCUGGGAAACUGCCUGAUGGAGGGGGGUAACUACUGGAAACGGUAGCUAAUACCGCAUACCAUCGGAUGUGCCCAGAUGGGAUUAGCUAGUAGGUGGGGUAAAGGCUCACCUAGGCGACGAUCCCUAGCUGGUCUGAGAGGAUGACCAGCAACACUGGAACGAGGACACGGUCCAGACUCCUACGGGUGGCAGCAGUGGGGAAUAUUGCACAAGGGGCGCAAGCCUGAUGCAGCCAUGACGCGUGUAUGAAGAAGGUCGUCGGGGUGUAAAGUACUUUCAGCGGGGAGGCGUUACCCGCAGAAGAAGCACCGGCUAACUCCGUGCCAGCAGCCGCGGUAAUAC